GAUGAACGCUGGCGGCGUGCCUAAUACAUGCAAGUCGAGCGAACAGAUGGGGAGCUUGCUCCUCUGACGUUAGCGGCGGACGGGUGAGUAACACGUGGAUAACCUACCUAUAAGACUGGGAUAACUUCGGGAAACCGGAGCUAAUACCGGAUAAUAUAUUGAACCGCAUGGUUCAAUAGUGAAAGACGGUUUUGCUGUCACUUAUAGAUGGAUCCGCGCCGCAUUAGCUAGUUGGUAAGGUAACGGCUUACCAAGGCAACGAUGCGUAGCCGACCUGAGAGGGUGAUCGGCCACACUGGAACUGAGACACGGUCCAGACUCCUACGGGAGGCAGCAGUAGGGAAUCUUCCGCAAUGGGCGAAAGCCUGACGGAGCAACGCCGCGUGAGUGAUGAAGGUCUUCGGAUCGUAAAACUCUAUUAUUAGGGAAGAACAAAUGUGUAAGUAACUAUGCACGUCUUGACGGUACCUAAUCAGAAAGCCACGGCUAACUACGUG
This 497-nucleotide ribosomal RNA is filed under the name uncultured bacterium. RNAcentral's name for it is "partial 16S ribosomal RNA". It matches the Rfam family "Bacterial small subunit ribosomal RNA", at positions 28 to 507 of the family's 1533-position model. The record is from RNAcentral.